GUUAGCACUCUAUCUCCCUCUUUCUUUUUUUUCCUAUAGCAAAAGGAGGGCCUAGGGUUUAUGCUACGGGUUGAGUACACUGGUUUACGCCAUUGAAGUUGCUUCAAAGUUGCUACAUUUCUUUAACAACAAGGCAAGGCUUCCUUGAUGCUACGGGUUGUCCAAAUUUUAGGGCUUUGAGAGUAACCGGUUUACGCCAUUGAAGUUGCUUCAAAGUUGCUACAUUUCUUUAACACCAAGGCAAGGCUUCCUUGAAAAUGACCCUCAUGGCCAAAACUAGACCGGAGAGAAAGGACGUGGAUUCUUACACGAUCAGAGGCAACAACAAAGUCGUCAGAGUGGGGGAUUGGGUGCUGAUGGGCCCAUUGGUCACCGGUAUGCCCCCAUGCUUGGCAUGCAUCAAGAAGAUUGAAGCCUAGGACGACUGGAGCAAUGCGAAAGUGAGAGUGAGGUCGUACUAUAGGCCAGAGGAGUCGAUCAGAGGACGUAGAAAGUUUCAUGAAGGCAAAGUUGAUGCUGGAGAGCUUGCACCAGACAUAGUUGCUGUACAUUGCAAGUGUGAGAUGCCGUAUAAUCCGGAUGAACUCAUGUGAAGUGCGAAGGGUGCAGGGAACGGUAAUCUUUUUGACUUCUUUACUUUCUUUCUCAAUGUGUUGCACAUUUUUUGAGAUCCGAGUUUUUGAGUGUGUUGUGUUACUUGAAAAUUGUUCGCAAAAGAAACAUUAACUAGGUUAUCUAUCUGUAAUAAUGGCUCUAACAAUUGCAGUCAUGAUCUUGAGAGCACUUGUUUAGCAGGCAUAUGCAAACAACAUAAGCACUCCAUUUGUGUGUAUGUUCAAUUUAAACAGGGAAAUGCUUGGAGAGCUUGUUGAUAAUUUAGGUCCUGUAGAUACUCGAGCAACAUCUCCUAUUCAUAGAUCUGUGCCUGCCUUUAUACAGUUAGAAAAAAAAAAUUUCAAGGGAAUUAUCUGGUGGCUACUGAAUCUUGUUUGGAAGAAAUUUGGGUCCUUUUUGCAACAUAAUUUGGCUCUACCUUAUGUAAAUCUUAAAUACCCUAAUAGAUACAUGAUUUUAUUUUACCAUUGACGACACAUACGUAUAGGUAUCAUCUGCUUGCAUUGGCUUGACCAUUGUAGAAGCAAAAAAAUUGGAAAGCUUUGUUUUGUUUAGAAUGUUCGUCUAAAGUGGAUGUGAUUAAGGCCCCAGAGCCAGAAUGCAUUUUCAGCAUCACCAGAAGCUGAUGCAAAGGUGCGGCUUAUCAUGAUGGAGUUUUGGUUAUUUUAUGUUAUUCUGAGCUCUUUUCUAAUUUCAGUCUCUUUUCCAAGAGUGCGGCUAUACUCUGUGUUUUUUAAUUUUUUUAAAGUGGACA
This is a long non-coding RNA of Prunus dulcis (almond), 1369 nucleotides long. RefSeq lists it as uncharacterized. NCBI's taxonomy places the organism in Eukaryota, Viridiplantae, Streptophyta, Magnoliopsida, Rosales, Rosaceae. The transcript is spliced from 3 exons. The record is from RefSeq and is a predicted model, not a curated record.